GAUGAACGCUGGCGGCGUGCUUUACACAUGCAAGUCGAACGGUGAAGCAGGAGCUUGCUCUUGUGGAUCAGUGGCGAACGGGCGAGUAACACGUGAGCAACCUGCCCCUGACUCUGGGAUAAGCGCUGGAAACGGCGUCUAAUACUGGAUAUGUGAUGUGACCGCAUGGUCUGCAUCUGGAAAGAAUUUCGGUUGGGGAUGGGCUCGCGGCCUAUCUGCUUGUUGGUGAGGUAAUGGCUCACCAAGGCGUCGACGGGUAGCCGGCCUGAGAGGGUGACCGGCCACACUGGGACUGAGACACGGCCCAGACUCCUACGGGAGGCAGCAGUGGGGAAUAUUGCACAAUGGGCGGAAGCCUGAUGCAGCAACGCCGCGUGAGGGAUGACGGCCUUCGGGUUGUAAACCUCUUUUAGCAGGGAAGAAGCGAAAGUGACGGUACCUGCAGAAAAAGCAUCGGCUAACUACGUGCCAGCCGCCGCAGUAA
Molecule: ribosomal RNA, 484 nt
Filed under: uncultured bacterium
Lineage: Bacteria
Description: partial 16S ribosomal RNA
Rfam family: Bacterial small subunit ribosomal RNA
Source: RNAcentral